This 103-nucleotide ribosomal RNA is filed under the name Telmatherina antoniae. RNAcentral's name for it is "partial 12S ribosomal RNA". The record is from RNAcentral. Lineage: Eukaryota; Metazoa; Chordata; Actinopteri; Atheriniformes; Telmatherinidae.
GAGGCGCGUACACACUGUACCGUCACUCUCACCGAGCCACGGCAUCCACAGUACAUAGAAUGUUAUCCUCGGGAAGGGGGAGGCAAGUCGUAACAUGGUAAGU